Molecule: ribosomal RNA, 275 nt
Filed under: uncultured prokaryote
Description: partial 16S ribosomal RNA
Rfam family: Bacterial small subunit ribosomal RNA
Source: RNAcentral
UACGUAGGGGGCAAGCGUUGUCCGGAAUGACUGGGCGUAAAGGGAGUGCAGGUGGUUUCUUAAGUCUGAUGUGAAAGCCCACGGCUUAACCGUGGAGGGUCAUUGGAAACUGGGGAACUUGAGUGCAGAAGAGGAGAGUGGAAUUCCAAGUGUAGCGGUGGAAUGCGUAGAUAUUUGGAGGAACACCAGUGGCGAAGGCGACUUUCUGGUCUGUAACUGACACUGAGGCUCGAAAGCGUGGGGAGCGAACAGGAUUAGAUACCCUGGUAGUCCCU